Brachypodium distachyon (stiff brome) is the source of this 1565-nucleotide long non-coding RNA. RefSeq lists it as uncharacterized. The transcript has 4 exons. The record is from RefSeq and is a predicted model, not a curated record. Lineage: Eukaryota; Viridiplantae; Streptophyta; Magnoliopsida; Poales; Poaceae.
CGGUCCAGCCCACGCGCGCCGCGCACCGUCAGUCCAUCUCUUCUCCGAUCGAGGUCUCUCUCGCCGGAGAGGGGGGCCAAAGACCAGUCAGUCCUCCUCGCCGUCGACGGCCCUCGCGACGGCGACGGUUUCUGGGGCAAGUGUACGGAGACCCCUUCGCGGCGGCUCGCCCAGACCAGAUGUGGUGCCAUGGUGGUAGAGGUGUAAAUUUAUUUAUCGCGAUGAUGGUGACUUUGAAGCCAAGCCACUGCCUCCAAAUGUCUUUAGUCUCCGGCUUCCCAGUACAAUAUUUUCUUUUUUUGACCGAAAGUACAAUAUUUUCUUAUUAGAGGUCAGUACGAUGUACGAUGUUGGCUGACGAUAAUGAUAAGAGGUCACUUUUGAAGAGUUCCUUGGGAAUAUUUUGGAACAAUCCUGUCGGCCACAAUAGCAGGCUGUUGGCUUUCAUAUAUAGAAAUAACUAUGGCAUCUCAUUGUUCUUUCAAUAUCAGGUUUGUUACAUAUAUAGAAUUGGAUAUGGCCUUUUCAGUUAGGUCCACACAAUUCCUCAAUAGUACAAUUAGACGUAUGAGAACAUAUACAGCAAUACAAUGAAUUAGUCAUAACCUGGUACCAAUCUGAAAACAGGAAUGCGGAUUGUGAUGACACAAUUCAGGACAGUGAUACAAAAUGAUCUAUCAUGUAUUAAAUUUUCAACUGCUUAAGGUGACAAAGCACCAGCCUCCAAAUCGUGUCAUUAUCCACAUCAAUGGGGGGCCGGCUUCUCACUUAUCCUGUUCUCUGUGGGUCAACAGCAUGGCUGCAUGGCCGGCUUCUCUUUUUUCCCUCUAGAAUACAGCACAGCCGGCUUCUCACUGAUCCGAGUCAUAAUUGGAAGGGUAGACUUAACUGUAUGCAUAUUGUCUCCCAAAAGGUUCCAACGCCAACGGUCUAGGCUCUAGGAGAGAUUUGUGUGAAUCCUAAAGAAAGCAUGGAUCAAUAACUGAACGUGCUUAAUUACAUGUCUGGGGGAUGCUGCACGCAAUUAACUCAGAAGGACUUGCAGCCCUGGAAGUAAUUAUUUAGUUUUCAGCAAAUCAAGUGUAAUGUGCAGACCAGGUCAAUUGGGUAAAAAUGAUAUAUAUAUAUGCUUAUGCUUAUAGAUAAGAAUCUUUCCAACAGAACAACGGUAUAACGUUGUCUUAUGUUAUGUUUUUCUUAGUUUUGUUAAGGCAAGGCCUUUUUCAAUUUAUAAAACCAAGUAACACCAACAGAUCAGAAAGCGAUUCCUCACCUACUUUGGGGCUGCGAUAAGGCGAGGCAGAACAAGAUGACAGAAUCUGAAGCAGGUGUUGCGGGUUUCCUCUAGCUGCCCUUGUGGUUACAGGCAGGGGCCAGAGCAGUAUUUCCUCCUUUUGUUUUUUGAGUCUCCAGUGCAGUAGUUCCUAGAUGAACAAGAUGGAUCAUACUUUUUUUUUUUUACUUUCUUAGGGAACAAGAUGGCUCAUCGUGCUUUUGCUCUACCAGUUCUCAACUUCUUGAUUCAGCCUGUUAAAAGUAACUUCUGAAUGCCAGUUUUAUCACAA